UAGGGAAUCUUCCACAAUGGACGAAAGUCUGAUGGAGCAACGCCGCGUGAGUGAAGAAGGUUCUCGGAUCGUAAAGCUCUGUUGUGAGGGAAGAACAAGUACGGGAGUAACUGUCCGUACCUUGACGGUACCUCAUUAGAAAGCCACGGCUAACUACGUGCCAGCAGCCGCGGUAAUACGUAGGUGGCAAGCGUUGUCCGGAAUUAUUGGGCGUAAAGCGCGCGCAGGCGGUCCUUUAAGUCUGAUGUGAAAGCCCACGGCUCAACCGUGGAAGGUCAUUGGAAACUGGGGGACUUGAGUACAGAAGAGGAAAGCGGAAUUCCACGUGUAGCGGUGAAAUGCGUAGAGAUGUGGAGGAACACCAGUGGCGAAGGCGGCUUUCUGGUCUGUAACUGACGCUGAGGCGCGAAAGCGUGGGGAGCAAACA
RNAcentral lists this ribosomal RNA (427 nucleotides) under uncultured Sporosarcina sp. Its description in RNAcentral is "partial 16S ribosomal RNA". It matches the Rfam family "Bacterial small subunit ribosomal RNA", at positions 355 to 774 of the family's 1533-position model. Lineage: Bacteria; Bacillati; Bacillota; Bacilli; Caryophanales; Caryophanaceae. The record is from RNAcentral.